UACGUAGGGUGCAAGCGUUAAUCGGAAUUACUGGGCGUAAAGCGUGCGCAGGCGGUUGUGCAAGACCGAUGUGAAAUCCCCGGGCUUAACCUGGGAAUGGCAUUGGUGACUGCACGGCUAGAGUGUGUCAGAGGGGGGUAGAAUUCCACGUGUAGCAGUGAAAUGCGUAGAGAUGUGGAGGAAUACCGAUGGCGAAGGCAGCCCCCUGGGAUAACACUGACGCUCAUGCACGAAAGCGUAGGGAGCAAACAGG
This 253-nucleotide ribosomal RNA is filed under the name uncultured bacterium. RNAcentral describes it as "partial 16S ribosomal RNA". It matches the Rfam family "Bacterial small subunit ribosomal RNA", at positions 524 to 776 of the family's 1533-position model. The record is from RNAcentral.